This 273-nucleotide ribosomal RNA is filed under the name uncultured bacterium. RNAcentral's name for it is "partial 16S ribosomal RNA". It matches the Rfam family "Bacterial small subunit ribosomal RNA", at positions 524 to 796 of the family's 1533-position model. The record is from RNAcentral.
UACGUAGGGCGCAAGCGUUGUCCGGAAUUAUUGGGCGUAAAGAGCUCGUAGGCGGCCUGUCGCGUCCGUCGUGAAAGCCCACGGCUCAACCGUGGGUUUGCGGUGGAUACGGGCAGGCUAGAGGCAGGUAGGGGCAAGCGGAAUUCCCGGUGUAGCGGUGAAAUGCGCAGAUAUCGGGAGGAACACCGGUGGCGAAGGCGGCUUGCUGGGCCUGUACUGACGCUGAGGAGCGAAAGCGUGGGGAGCGAACAGGAUUAGAUACCCCCGUAGUCC